CUAAAACAUUAUCAACUUCUUAUAAUAGCAAAACAACGACCUUGACAAGAAAUUUUGUGAGUCUAAACGACAAGAAGAAAAACUAUUUUUGAAAGCUGAAAGGUUAGAGAAAAACACUAAAAUUAAUAAAUAAGCUCAACAUGUUGACCUUUUACGAGGUGAAAAUGACACAUUUCUCAAUAUGUUAACAAGAACUUCCAAAAAUGCUAUGUAUUAUAUCAGUGUUUAGAAAAAAAGAUUCAAAAUAAAAAUUAAGCCACAAAUUAGGUUAGUGUAGAUUCUAAGUACUCAUUCAUUUCUCUCACUACAAAAAUUAUUAAUUUUAGGAGGGAUUCUUUUUUGGAGGUUUUGAAAACCCCGAAUACAUUCUAGCGAUUUAUGCUUAAAAUCGCAUGUACCUUCUUUUUUUAAAAAAAAAUCUGGCUUCCACUAACAUAAAUCGUCCCUAAUAUAUAUUUUUAUUUUUGAAUAACUUUUUUGGCGAUCCUUAAUAUCAGAAAAGCUUUUCCCACACCUUCAUUUCUAAUUCUCGAGCCCUAAUCCCCUUCCUGCUAAGCACUUUCAUUUCUUUCGCCUUCAUCACAAUCUUUCCCAAUCAUUCCUGCUUCGUGUUCGUUGUUUUGUGUCUUCCCCUGCUUGGGCUGAGCGUUGUCGUCGAGGUGGCGAGAUCGAGGCGGUGAGGUCGAGGCAACGAGGUCGAGGCGGCGAGGACUAUGUAAGGUAUGUUCAUCUUAUCUCUUCAAUCUGAUUAUUCUCUUUGCGUUCUUUUUCUCUUGCCUGAGUCUCCAUUCCUAAUACUUUCUAGUUCCUCUCAUUCCUCUUUUACUCUAACCUAAUCUUCAUUAUCACUAAAAUUCUAAUACAAUGUUCAUUUUUCAAUUGUGGUGACUUCACUGUAUUUUCAUUUUUCACUCUAACCUAAUCUUUAU
Molecule: long non-coding RNA, 929 nt
Filed under: Vigna radiata
Lineage: Eukaryota; Viridiplantae; Streptophyta; Magnoliopsida; Fabales; Fabaceae
Description: long non-coding RNA (VRAD_LNC005512)
Source: RNAcentral